Molecule: ribosomal RNA, 468 nt
Filed under: uncultured bacterium
Lineage: Bacteria
Description: partial 16S ribosomal RNA
Rfam family: Bacterial small subunit ribosomal RNA
Source: RNAcentral
GGCGAACGCUGGCGGCGUGCUUAACACAUGCAAGUCGAACGGAAAGGCCCUGCUUUUGUGGGGUGCUCGUGUGGCGAACGGGUGAGUAACACGUGAGUAACCUGCCCUUGACUUUGGGAUAACUUCAGGAAACUGGGGCUAAUACCGGAUAGGAGCUCCUGCUGCAUGGUGGGGGUUGGAAAGUUUCGGCGGUUGGGGAUGGUCUCGCGGCUUAUCAGCUUGUUGGUGGGGUAGUGGCUUACCAAGGCUUUGACGGGUAGCCGGCCUGAGAGGGUGACCGGCCACAAUGGGACUGAGAGACGGCCCAGACUCCUACGGGAGGCAGCAGUGGGGAAUAUUGCACAAUGGGCGGAAGCCUGAUGCAGCAACGCCGCGUGCGGGAUGACGGCCUUCGGGUUGUAAACCGCUUUCGCCUGUGACGAAGCGUGAGUGACGGUAAUGGGUAAAGAAGCACCGGCUAACUACGUG